RNAcentral lists this ribosomal RNA (325 nucleotides) under Klebsiella pneumoniae. RNAcentral describes it as "bacterial LSU rRNA". It matches the Rfam family "Bacterial large subunit ribosomal RNA", at positions 292 to 628 of the family's 2925-position model. Lineage: Bacteria; Pseudomonadati; Pseudomonadota; Gammaproteobacteria; Enterobacterales; Enterobacteriaceae. The record is from RNAcentral.
GGGGAGCAGCCCAGAGUCUGAAUCAGCUUGUGUGUUAGUGGAACGGUCUGGAAAGUCCGACGGUACAGGGUGAUAGUCCCGUACACCAAAAUGCACAGGCUGUGAACUCGAAGAGUAGGGCGGGACACGUGGUAUCCUGUCUGAAUAUGGGGGGACCAUCCUCCAAGGCUAAAUACUCCUGACUGACCGAUAGUGAACCAGUACCGUGAGGGAAAGGCGAAAAGAACCCGGCGAGGGGAGUGAAAAGAACCUGAAACCGUGUACGUACAAGCAGUGGGAGCACCUUCGGGUGUGACUGCGUACCUUUGUAUAAUGGUCAGCGACU